UACGUAGGGAGCAAGCGUUGUCCGGAAUCAUUGGGCGUAAAGCGCGCGUAGGCGGCCUUGUAAGUCCGUUGUGAAAGUCAAAGGCUCAACCUUUGAAAGCCGAUGGAUACUGCGAGGCUAGAGUCCGGAAGAGGCGAGUUGAAUUCCCGGUGUAGCGGUGGAAUGCGCAGAUAUCAGGAGGAACACCAAUAGCGAAGGCAGCUCGCUGGGACGGUACUGACGCUAAGGCGCGAAAGCGUGGGGAGCGAACAGG
Molecule: ribosomal RNA, 253 nt
Filed under: uncultured bacterium
Lineage: Bacteria
Description: partial 16S ribosomal RNA
Rfam family: Bacterial small subunit ribosomal RNA
Source: RNAcentral